Molecule: long non-coding RNA, 321 nt
Organism: Nilaparvata lugens (brown planthopper)
Lineage: Eukaryota; Metazoa; Arthropoda; Insecta; Hemiptera; Delphacidae
Exons: 3
Source: RefSeq, a predicted model, not a curated record
AGAAAACUAGCUAUUUUCCAUUAAACAUUAUAGCUGCUGAAUCUAUCCAACAGUUGUGCUGUCUCGACUGCACACUCUGUGUGCUUCUCCUGACAUUGAGUUGAUGAUUAACCAGCAGAACAAGAUGAAUCCUACCUCACUGAGUUCGUUUGAUGGAAAUGGACCCAUGUAGCAGAGCACUCGAGAAUUUGAGCAUUUUCUCACCUCUCAACUCGGGGUUUCCUCGGUGUCAUAACCAGUUGAGCUCUCAUGAGGGAAACAUACCUGCAUCGAGAAAAGCAUACCCGAGGAGAUAGCUGUCAUUUCGUGAAAUCAACACAU